This 4703-nucleotide long non-coding RNA is filed under the name Sus scrofa (pig). Its description in RNAcentral is "lncRNA (ENSSSCG00000057336.1)". The record is from RNAcentral. Lineage: Eukaryota; Metazoa; Chordata; Mammalia; Artiodactyla; Suidae.
GAUCCCUGGCCCUGCUCAGUGGGUUGAGGAUCCGGCGUUGCCGUGAGCUGUGGUGUAGGUCGCAGGCGUGGCUCAAAUCGCGUGGCUGUGGCCUAGGCCAGCACCUGCAGCUCCAAUUGGACUCCUAGCUUGGGAACUUACAUAUGGUGUAGGUAUGGCCCGGAAAAGGGGGGAAAAAAAAAACAAAUUUUUUUUGAUAUUUUUGAUGGACCUCCCAGACGUCAAAUUCUAAUUGAAGCUCUUUUGACUUUGGGCUCCCCCUGGAGGGCCUCACAGGCCCUGGAGCUUCCCAGAGAGACCCUCAACGCACAGGCUCAGUGGUGUGUGAAGCUUGGAGGGGACGCCGCGCAGCCUGGCCGUGCUGGGUCAGAUGGGCCUUCAGGCUGGCCCAGCUCCACUGUGGCUCCAGCCCGGGGGAGGGUUCGGUCUUGUGUCCGGUCUCACCUAAUGCGAUGUCUAGAAGCCCCUGUGGGACCCAGCCCUGGGCCCUCAGGUCCCGACCCCAGGGCGUUUGGCGUUGCGCCCACCCCCCGUUUCUCCAAGGGACCCUCUUUACAGUCGGGGCCUCUUUACUCAAGGCCUCGGCUGCCCACACACUGUCGCAGGCCGCCUGGUGGGCUGGCCCCUUCCCAGUGGCCCACGUUCUGGGCGUUCGAGAUGCUCGGUCUCAGGAAUACACCCCAGCAUCAUGGGGGCCCACGCUUUGUAAACAACAGGUCCCCCUCAAGGAGAGUCUUGGCAACACUGGCACAAACGUCCCCUGCCGUGAGGCCCUGGCACGAGGGACUGGGUGGACCAAGGUGUGGCUGGAUGAUGGGAGCGUGGGGGAUGCUUGAAACCCCAUCAGGUGAGGGGAGUCAGGGACACUCCGGCCCCCUCCCGACUAGGCCGCCUGGGAAAUGGCUCGGUUCUCUGGACUUCAUCCCCAGGGGCGCCGGGUUGCAGGUUACGCGACGGGAAAAUCCUCCCAAGCCGGAGAGACUCCUGGACUGCAGCCUUGAAAGCUGGGAAAGCUGCUAAGGAGACAGCCUGGAAAAGGGCAGACUCAGCCUCAGACUCGACUGGCACGCUGCCUGCUGCCUGGCCUUCGUGAAGCUGGAGAACGGAGGGAAGUGGGUCUGAAUGCAGUACCAUCGUGCACUUGGAUCUGUACCGCCGGCUUCCCUGUGCAGCUCCUGUAGUCACAGGCCCGGGGAGGAGGUUCCGUCACGGCUCAGUGGUAACAAACUCCACUAGGAUCCACGAGGACGCAGGUUCGAUCCCUGGCCCCACUCAGUGGGUUAAGGAUCUGGUGUUGCUGUGGGCUGCGGUGUAUGUCACAGAUGCGGCUCGGAUCCUGUGUGGCUAUGGUUAUGGUGUAGGCCGGCAGAGCCACUCUUCUCUGUCCUGUGUCUCGCGCUGGGCCUCUCUCCUCCAAAAGCUGGACAGUGGCCGGUGUUGAAGGGACACCUGGUGCCUGUCACUUCACCGGCCCCUCGCCUGCCAGCUCUUCAGCUGUGCCUGAGCAUCCACCCCACUACCGGGAGACACCUGGGCCCCUGGGGACCAUGUUACGGUUAAGAGGCGCUGAGCAGCCCCUCAUCUUGACUCGGCCCGGCCGGAAGAACGGGGGCCACGACGAGCAGUGAACACACACAGGAGCAGGAGUCCUGGGAAGACUGCAAAUGCCCAACCUGUAAAAAUGAGCCUCUGGGCCCGAAGCCAGUCAUCCCACCUUAAGCUGGAGGCGAAACGGGAAAAGGUUUGCAGCCCUUUAGAUAAAUUCUUUAGACACGGCCUGUUGGUGCCCUGCCCGGCUCCGUGCAGUGCUCCUGUGCGGCCAGGUGUUACGCCAACGGGGACAUCGGAGGGUGCGGGACCUCAGAGCAGUAGCUGAAGCCGGUCCCCACACAUCCUCUGUGGCCAGCCCUGCGUGGAUCCGUCCAGGUUCCCGGAGACGCCUGGUGGUUUACUUGUGCAUCAGCCCAUCCCUCAACACAAGGCUCUUUGCCUCCCAGUGGACCAGCCCCAGGCCAAAUGCAGUGGUGACCCAGACGGCAGCGCCCCGGGACCUCAGGACGGCCCGCGCUGUCCGCCCAGGCCCUCGGAAAAGCAGCAAGGGCAAUACACCUGGGAGGGACUGCUCUGCAGUGCGUGGUGACACGUUAACACGCAGCCCCACGACAGAGGCCUCGGGUCAGAGCACCCUUGACGUCCUUAGCUUCCUUGGGGUCCAGGGCUAAGGGUUUCCCAGAAAAAGGCACACGUUUCGAAGCAAAAAGUUAAAUGCCUGGGGUUUACCAUAAACGCUGGAAGCAGACUGUUACCCCAGACGGAAAACAGGCUACACUGGGGCUAAGUGUCGCGAAGACCAAGAGCCCUCUCACUACCUUCUUGGUCGUGGCGGGAUUUUGCAGAAUCUGGAUUCCAGGAUCCAGGCUAAGCCCCCGUGUGCAGUCACCAGAGGCCCGGACACAAAACCAUUGCUUUGGCCUGAAGAACACGCAGGCUCCCAGUCUUAUCAAACAGGCCCUCAUGGAACUCUGGCUCUGGGGCUCCCCCUCCCCCCGAAAAACUGUUCAGCCCCCAUGUGUCUGAAAAGCUGGGCCAGGCCUGGGGGUCCUUGUGCAAAAGCUGGGGGGAGUUCUCCAGCCUGAUUCCCGGCUGGACGUCGGCCUGGCUGCCUCCGGGCGGAAGCUGCCACUGCUUUAUUCGUAGAAGAAACGAAGACGCUGGAGGUCCAGGCCCCACAGCAGGCACAAGGGAUUCUGGAGAUGAAAGGCCACCCCUGGCCAACAGGAGGCCCCUUACCAGCACCAGACUCUACUCCUUGGCUGCCCAGAGGGACCCCUCAGAACUUGCUGCGGCCCCGCCGCACCGAUGCCGAAAGCCCCGGAUUCCUGCCCCGACCAGCAUUGUGCCUGCGGGUCUGACCUGACGACCAGGCCGUGGGAACCCUGAGCGGGAACGGUCUGCAGGCGGCCGCGGUUUCCCUGAAGACCGAGUCCGGGCAGGGGCCAAGUGGGAGCGCUCUCGAUGUCGCCGAAGCAAAACCUUCGCCGCCCAGACCCAGCCGCUGACCUCCGCUCAGGGGAGGAAAAAUGACGCGUGGAUACACAGACACAAGAGAUGCCUGCCGUGCUCUUGGUGCUAGGCAGCUUCCUGGAAGGUCAGAGGGCUUCAAACGCAAGGCCUUCCCCGUGAAACACCGCCCGGGGCUCUACAUCUCGCAGCAGAAGCGGCUCAAAGGCCAAAACAAGCAGCAGUUAUUCUCGGCCGCGGGGAGCAAAGGGGACCCUCCCCAAGUGCCCAAGGGAACCACAGGGCGGAUCCAGAAGCGGGGAGAGCAGCCCUGAUGCCCACGGCAGAAAUGGCCUUGAUUCCAGCCCCUACCCCUCCCAUGUGCUACUCAGGGAGACUCAGCUGCUUUUUUUGUUUUUCCUUUUUGGGCCACCCCAUGGCCUAUGGAGUUCCUAGGCCAGGGAUCAGAUUCCAGCUGUGGUUACCACGUAAGCUGCAGCUGUGGCAACACCAGAUUUUUAACCUGCUGGGCCGGGCCAGGGAUCAAACCUGCGUCCCAGCGCUCCCAAGGCGCCACCAGUCCCAUUGCACCACAGCAGGAACUCCAGGCUUCAGCUUCUGAAGAGACCUGGCUCGAGACAGAGGGGGAGGUGAGGGCACAGGCGGCUGGUGGCCCCUGGAGCAGAGGCGGCCACCCCCCCCCGCCCCCCGCUGGCCAGUGGGGGAUGGAAGGGCUGCCUGAGUCUCCAUCCGGGCAGAGGCCGCGUCUACAACGGUCUUCCGGCUUUUCACAGGGAAGGGGCUUCCAGACACAGUCAGGUGCGUCACCUGAGCCCGUGCCCUCUGCGCCCCCGUCUAGGGACAGCCUCAGCCCCCAUUUUGUUUGCCCAGUGCAUCCACAUGGGGCUUGGCCGGGGGAGGCCCGGCAGGAAGAUUUCAGCCAGGCGCCCUCUUCCCAGGGCUUCAAAUACGUGCUGGUCUUUGUUGAUACUCUUACCGGGCGGGUAGAGGCCUUCCCCACAGGCCAGAAAGGGCAGCGGAGGGGCUAAGGCGCUUCUGAGGGAGCUCGCCCCUAGGUUGGGGUUACCCCGUCACCUCCAGAGUGACAGUGGAGGCUUGCUCACCGCAAAGGUCACCCAGCCCUAGAAAUUAGCAUACCACCUCUAAUCAUCUGGGUACCUCGGUCCAGGAAAAGCGGGACAGGCUGGUCACAGCCUGAAGAAACGCUGGGGCUUCUCGUCGUGGCUCAGUGGGUCACAAACCCGACCAGCAUCUGUGAGCAUUCCUGGCCUCACUCAGUGGGUUGAGGAUCUGGCGUUGCCGUGAGCUGAGGGGUAGGUGGCAGCCUCGGCUCGGAUCCUGCGUUGCCGUGGCUGUGGUGUAGGCCGGCAGCUGCAGCUCCAAUUCGACCCCUAACCUGGGAGCCUCCAUGUGCUGCAGGUGUGGCCCUAAAAAGCUAAAAAAAGGGACUGCCCUUCAUGGCUCAGUGGAAACGAAUCUGACUAGUAUCUACGAGGAUGCAGGUUCAAUCCCUGGCCUCGCUCAGUGGGUUAAAGAUCUGAUAUUGCCGGGAGCUGUGGGUUAGGUCGCAGACACGGCUUGGAUGUUGCUGUGGCUGUGGUAUAGGCCGGCAGCUACAGCUCCAAUUUGACCCCUAGCCUGGGAACCCCCAUAUGCCACCGGUGCGGCCUAAAAAGACAAAA